GGCGAGGUAGCUCAGUCGGCAGAGCAGAGGACUCAUAAGCCUUGUGUCGCGGGUUCAAGUCCCGCCCUCGCCA
Molecule: transfer RNA, 73 nt
Filed under: Chloroflexota bacterium
Lineage: Bacteria; Bacillati; Chloroflexota
Also listed under: 1 other name
Description: Chloroflexi bacterium (cold seep metagenome) tRNA-Met
Rfam family: tRNA
About the family: Transfer RNA (tRNA) molecules are approximately 80 nucleotides in length. Their secondary structure includes four short double-helical elements and three loops (D, anti-codon, and T loops).
Source: RNAcentral